GUCAGGGAAGAGUUAGAAGUGUCCAGUUUCUCAGAGGGAGAAAGCAUUCGCCAAGGGGGGAAGGAGAGCAGUGAAUCUAACAGAAGAGAGCAAGAGGAACAACAGGGAGGGACUGGCUGUUCACAGGAAAGGCAAGGGUUAAGUUCUAGCUCAGAUUUGGAGGAGGGGAGAUACAAGCCAGCUCUAGCCAGGAGGUUAGAGGGAUAAUAAUAAUAAAUUUAUUAAAUUUGUGAGGUCCAUGCCUUUACACAAAAUACCAUAAAACAUUAUUAAAAGAUAAACCAAAAAGGUUAUAAAAGUAAGCUAAAAUUCAUGCCAUGUUGUCCCAGCAAGGAAACUACCCAAAAAACCCCACCAUUCGAGGAAGAAGGUACAGCAACAGGUUAGGAGAGCAAUGGGAGGGACCUCACCGUUUCAUCCAGGAACCAUACCCUAGUUUUCAUAGCCUUCACCACAAAGACCGCUACCACGUGAGAAAUCCGUGGAUCAGCGUCUACCAGUAAAAACUUUACUUGGUCCUCAGAGUUGACUAUUGAUUUAGGAAUAGUUGUAACAUCGCAUCCCUGAAGGCCGAAUAGAUGGGACAAUACAACAUGUAAUGUAUGAGAUCCUCUUUGGUUCUCAUAUAACAAGGACAUAUCCGCUGCUCUACUGGGAUUUUUGCAUAUCUGCCUGACAGAUAGGCCGUAGGAAUGGUUUGAAAACGGGCCAUAGUAAAGGCUCUCCGAAGAGUGGGAUUGGUGAUAUUCGCCAAGUAAUUGGCGCAGAUUUUGACUGCUUUCAGUCGGGGAAGCCAGUGGGAGGACCCUGGGAUCUGUAUUUUUGUGGUAUCUAACAGAGCGUCUCUCUCCAGGAUCCAUUUCCGGACUUUGUCCGGGCUCCACCGCUUGAGGAUAUUAAACUCCGGUAGGGUGUAUCUAACCAGGAUCUCAGAUAAGUUUUGGCACCAAGUGGUAUUCUUUUGAAAAGAUACGAAGGCUUGUUUGGCCAAUAAGGUGUUUGAAGAGUUUGCAAGGUUGAUGUAAAAUCGUAGGAAUCUUAAGUGGGCCCUGGCAGACACAGAGGGUAAACCAACCUCCACCCUCAAGAAGGCUGCUGGGGUUCCUUGAGGAAGGCCUAGAAUCUUCUUGAGAUAGUAGUUUUGCAAAAUUUCAAGCCGUUCCAACAGCCUCUGGUUCCACCCCCAGAGUUCUAUCCCAUAUAACAUCUGGGGAAUAGCUUUCCCAACGAAAGCUCUUAAUGCCGGGAUCACCAAUUGUCCUCCCCUGGUAUGGAAGAAACUAAGCAAAACACCAAUUGUUCUUCGUGUUAGGAUGGUUACAGCCUUAAAGUGGGCUAGCCAGCUAGAUGUAGCCUGGAAUGUAACACCCAGAUAUUUAAAAAAGGGCACUGUUCAAUCACUUGUUCAUCUAAAGACCAUCUAAAGGUGUGGCGAGCUCUAGUAAACACCACAAUUUUUGUUUUAUCAUGGUUUAUCUUUAGUGAAUUAUGGGAACAGUAGGCUGCGAUCCCCUCCAGCAUGCUGCGUAAGCCUCUUCGGGUGAGUGCCAUUAAAACCAUGUCAUCGGCAUAUAGCAAAAUAUUCAGGCGUUUACCUUCAAGGGCUGGAGCCGAUGACUUGUACUUUGCCAUGUACUGGACAAUGUCGUUUAUAUAAAAGUUGAAAAGAAAUGGGGCUAGCAGGCAUCCCUGUUUGACCCCUUUCCCCAAUGGCAGUGGGUCCGUAAGAGUUCCCGAUGGCCCAGUUCUGAUUUUGACUGUAAUGUCUGUAUGUAACUCUCUGAGAAUUUUUAAAAGUCGUCUGUCAAUGUCCGUUUCAUGGUGACCUCCACUUUUGUUUGUUCCCUAGCUCAGACGGAACUCCUGGAAGAUGGCGCCGGCAGUAAGUCUCCUGUGAGCCUCAACAGAGUGAGUAGGAGCUUUUACAGAAUAAUUACAAUAAUACAGAAAGACAUUCAGAAAAAAUCAAAGUUUUAGCCUGAUAAAAGAAUCCGGGAGUUACCAGGAGGUAUUUCUUAAAUCCUCCCCUUUCCUCCCCUAUUCGAGGCUAAUUACAACCUUUGAGCUCCUGUUGAAUAAGGCCCUAGCACACGGCUAGAGAAGAUAACUUAAAUGGUUCUUACAAGACAGAAUUAUAAAGAACUGGGGAUCCCUCUAGCUCAAGCACAAGCUGUUGAACCCCUGCCCCAAAGAAAAAGCAGGCAAAAAUUCCAUAUUAUUUUAAACCAAAAGCAGAGGAAGUGAAAAGAAAUAAAAACAUAGAGAGCCUGCAUCCGCACGAAUGGUCUGUCGACCGUAUCUCGUUCAGAAGGGGCAUGGAAGCAGAGGGAGGAGGAGGAAAAGGAGUUGACCUGGCAACCGAGUUGGCACAGGCAACUACAGAAAGUACAGCCCUUGAGGCCCGACCAGAACAGGAGCCUCAGCUGGGAGACCCAGAAACCAAGUCAAAAGAAUCCACCCAUCAACCUAUGCUUAGAGGAAAGGGGGGGUCCCCUGCCCCGACAGAGGUGGAGGAGUGGCUAAACGACACAAGAGCUCGACAUCCAGACCUGGGCAGCUAUAAUUACAUAAUGACAGGGCUGUACAAAGAUCUGUUGGAAGAACAUCAAACUCAGCUAAUUAAAGAACUGGGGCCUAUUAAAAACUUUCUUUCAGAAUGUUUGGGUUUGCUCACCUCCCUGAUUGAACUAAUCAGGAGGAAAGAGGAUUGCCACUUUCACAAAGAAGCCAUCAACAAGCCAAAUGGAAAUAAAACCCAGUCCAACACCAAAGAAAGGAAAACAAGCAGAGCCAAACUAGCCCAAGGAAAAGUACUGGCCACUAGGAAACCUUCCUUAAAGGGAAAGAGCCCAAUGCAUAAGAAGAAGCCGAAGAAUGUGAAAAUGGGUCGAAAGGCUAAGCUGCCCUCUCGGACUGGGAAAGUGAAUUUCUCAAAGUUAUUCAAGAUUCUGGAGAACUCAAGCACAAAGAACUCCAACAAAACAACGCCAAAUAAGAGCCAAAGCCCAAACAUUUUAAAUAUACAUCAGGUGACUAGCCCUCCAAGGCUAGCAAAACAAUCGCUGCCCUCUAGUGGAAAAUUAAAGGAAACUCCAGAUCCAAAGCAAGAAACUCCCCAGAAGGGAGUACAAAAGAGCCAGAACUUAAUUUUAAUUAAACAUAAAUUAGUCCUCCUCCCUCUCUUCAAGCAUGGAGGCCUUUCCACGCUUGCACAACAGAGAAUUUAUUUACUUAAGAAAAUUGACUUAGUCAUCAGAGGCCUUAUACCAGCAGGAAAUAUUGUCAGCGUUAAAUUUCUUCCUUUUGAUAUGGCCCAAAACAGAGUUGUGGUGACCUUUAAGGACUGGUCGGUAACUAAACAAAUCAUGGACAAGAGGGACAGGCUCCAGAGGGCUGGCCUGUUGGUGACCCGCCUUUUUGAAGAGUCCGGCGUUCCACCAUCCCUCUUAGGAACACGUAAGCCGACUAGUCCGCGCACAGAAUUGGAAAUGGCUUCUGAAAACUGCAAACAAGGUCAACCGGAGGCAGUCAAAAUUUCCAAACAGAAGGCUAAGCUCCAAAAAACAUUACUCCCUUCCAAUGAACCCAAAAAAGAAAUCUUAAAUGAAAAGGAGAUGCUCUUUCUAGCCUCCCUUGAGCAAAUUCAACAGUCCCAGGAUGCGUUAAUAGCUAGGUUACAAACCAUUAAAAAAUCCUUAUUCCGCCAAGGUUUUUCUGCUCCUUUGGAAUUUAAUUUUGCUACUAACACAACAAAGCCCUUAUCCAACGAAGACUGGACGCAGUGCCGGUUCCUGUCCCCCGAAGAAGUGGGUUCUCCCACACAACCCUUAACACCUCAAACAACAACACACCAGGUAGACCUUGCCAUGCCGAUGAGUAGGAACGGUUCAAUCUUUGUGGAUGCCUCAGGAUCCUUAGAUGGCAUUCAGGUGGAGGAUUGAAAGACAGAUACAGCGAGGGGACACCACGCCAGUGAAACAAAACUCACUAGGUUAGUACCUACCACAAAGGAUACCAACAGCUCACUCCACCUCUACAAAAACAUUCAUUCCAUCAUCCUAAAGAACAAACGGAGAAGUCUACCUUUGUUCCCCUCACCACCAUAUUUUCACAUCUUAUCGUGGAAUGUGGCGGGCUGGCUGUCUAAGCAGGGCGCUGCUGAUUUUCUGGAUUUUCUCUCAAAAUUCCAGAUUAUUUGUCUACAAGAGACCUGGUGCCUAGACUCUCAUCCCCCUUACUUACAGGGCUAUGCGGCUUUUGCUACCCCUGCGAAAAAACUAAAUAACCGUGGCCGACCUAGCGGCGGUUUGGUCACUUUUAUUCCUAUAGAGCAAGGGUACAGGGUGCGACAACUGCAGUGGAUGAAGAACAACAAUUUUCAGAUUUUACUUAUCUCCAAUAACACAGGAGGAGAUCUUCUAUGUUUCAACGUCUAUAUCCCCCGUGUGUACUUCCUCUCAGACAGUACAAAUCUGGGAAGAUUUGGAGUCAUGCUUGGAGAAGGCCAAAAUAGAAUUCCCUGACUGGAACAUCCUGCUGGCAGGUGACUUUAAUGCCAGGAUAGGCAGCGACAUCAAUUCGUAUGGCUCCAAAACCCAGUUUCUACCAGAGGCAGACUGGCUUAUCCCUUGGAGUUCUGAUGAAAAGGUCUUGAACAAGGCAGGUAUUACAUUACUGGAGAUUGCUUUUAAGCAUAAUCUGUACAACCUGCAUGGUACUUACAUGGACAGGUCAGGAGGUUUCUUCUCUUUAUCGGCCCUCGUGGUGCAAGUGUGAUUGACCAUAUCCUGGUCUCUCCAACAAUUUUGGAGAGGGUACAGGGUCUCAGCACUUUUAAUAGAACUGAGAGCGACCAUCUUCCUAGAGCAAUCUCACUAACUCCCCUUGAAUCAGGGGAUUACAACAUCUACAUUGUGCAGCCCCUCCUCAAGCACCGGCCCCACGCAGGCGUAAAUGGAACAGCGAGCUGGAGCUUAAAAUUAAUCAACACCUGCACUCUCCAGAUCUAUUGGUUCUGAGAGACCAGUGUCCUUUACCUAACUUUGAUCCUUUUUCACUAUAUCAGCGGGUCUCAGAGUCCCUUUUCCCAUUUCUUAUAAACACCAGGCCUCCCAUACAACAUAACAAAUCGGGGCCUGGUGUGACAAAGACUGCCGGAAGCUAAGAUCCCUGCUUAGGAAACAACAAAAUAAGGUAAAACAGGAGAGGACUUUGUCAUCUAUGGUAAAUUUCCACAGAUGGCGCUCUCACUAUAAAUACACCUUAAAACUCAAGAAAUCCCUUUACAGGAAGAAACAAUGGGAGGCACUUGAUAAGGCGAUUAAAUCGCGAGACGAUAGAAAAUUCUGGGCAAUAGUAGCACAGGGAGUCUCAUCCAAAGGAAAAAUUGUAAACAGCAGUAUUCCAUCCGAUGUGUGGUAUCAACACUUUCUCAAGCUAUACACACUCUCAAAUACUGCUAACUUGAGUCCGCUCCUCCCAUUGAAGAAUGAGCAUCUAGUUAGUUGGGAUCCCGUUACGGAAUCAGAGUGCCUACAGCUAAUUAAAACUUUAAAAAAUGGCAAAGCUCCUGGCGAGGACAUGAUCCCCCCUGAGGUUUUUAAAUUAAAUGCCCAAUGGUGGGCCAUCUUUUUGGCCAAACUUUUACGGCAAUGAACAACACAUGUAAAAUCCCAGCAAAUUGGAAACUAAGUGUGGUAGUCCCUAUCUAUAAGAAGGAGACAUUCAAGAUCCAGCAAACUACCGCCCUAUAAGCCUUCUGGACAUCGCAUACAAACUUUAUACCCGGUACCUAUUAAACAAGCUGGUAGAUUGGGCGGACCAUUCUAACCUGUUCAACCAGGAACAGGCAGGAUUUAGAAAGGGCCACAAUACGAUAGGUCACUGUAUGGUACUACAGACCCUGGUAGCUAAAUAUGCAAAAGCGUAUAAGAGCAGACUCUUUGUGGCCUUCGUAGACUUGACAUCUGCCUUCGACUCAAUCUGUAGAGAUAGACUAUGGAAAAAAUUAUAUGAAACGGACAUUGACAGACGACUUUUAAAAAUUCUCAGGAGGUUAGAAAAAAGAGCGGGAAAGCGAAGGGAAGGGCGCCUUCGCCAUUUUGAGAGUGGCUGGUCAUGGAGAAGCAGAGCUCAGAAGGUAUCUGAAAUAAGUGACUCUGAG
Molecule: long non-coding RNA, 6163 nt
Filed under: Podarcis lilfordi (Lilford's wall lizard)
Lineage: Eukaryota; Metazoa; Chordata; Lepidosauria; Squamata; Lacertidae
Source: RNAcentral